AUUAGAUUAAAAACCAAUGCCCUUCGGGGCUCACUGGUGAUUCAUGAUAACUUCUCGAAUCGCAUGGCCUUGUGCCGGCGAUGGUUCAUUCAAAUUUCUUCCCUAUCAACUUUCGAUGUUUGGGUAUUGGCCAAACAUGGUUGCAACGGGUAACGGAGGGUUAGGGCUCGACCCCGGAGAAGGAGCCUGAGAAACGGCUACUACAUCCAAGGAAGGCAGCAGGCGCGCAAAUUACCCAAUCCCGACACGGGGAGGUAGCGACAAUAAAUACUGAUACGGGGCUCUUUUGGGUCUCGUAAUUGGAAUGAGAACAAUUUAAAUCCCUUAACGAGGAACAAUUGGAGGGCAAGUCUGGUGCCAGCAGCCGCGGUAAUUCCAGCUCCAAUAGCGUAUAUUAAAGUUGUUGCAGUUAAAAAGCUCGUAGUUGAACCUUGGCCCUGGCUGGCCGGUCCGCCUCACCGCGAGUACUGGUCCGGCUGGGGCUUUCCUUCUGGGGAACCUCAUGGCCUUCACUGGC
Molecule: ribosomal RNA, 517 nt
Filed under: uncultured fungus
Lineage: Eukaryota; Fungi
Description: SSU rRNA
Rfam family: Eukaryotic small subunit ribosomal RNA
Source: RNAcentral